GACGAACGCUGGCGGCGUGCCUAAUACAUGCAAGUCGAACGCUGAAGGAGGAGCUUGCUUCUCUGGAUGAGUUGCGAACGGGUGAGUAACGCGUAGGUAACCUGCCUGGUAGCGGGGGAUAACUAUUGGAAACGAUAGCUAAUACCGCAUAAUAUUGACUAUUGCAUGAUAGUCAGUUGAAAGGUGCAACUGCACCACUACCAGAUGGACCUGCGCUGUAUUAGCUAGUUGGUGGGGUAACGGCUCACCAAGGCGACGAUACAUAGCCGACCUGAGAGGGGGAUCGGCCACACUGGGACUGAGACACGGCCCAGACUCCUACGGGAGGCAGCAGUAGGGAAUCUUCGGCAAUGGACGGAAGUCUGACCGAGCAACGCCGCGUGAGUGAAGAAGGUUUUCGGAUCGUAAAGCUCUGUUGUAAGAGAAGAACGAGUGUGAGAGUGGAAAGCUCACACUGUGACGGUAUCUUACCAGAAAGGGACGGCUAACUACGUG
RNAcentral lists this ribosomal RNA (495 nucleotides) under uncultured bacterium. Its description in RNAcentral is "partial 16S ribosomal RNA". It matches the Rfam family "Bacterial small subunit ribosomal RNA", at positions 28 to 507 of the family's 1533-position model. The record is from RNAcentral.